AACAAUCGGGUAAACUGGUUACCUCACCGCAACUUAUCAAUAUAGACAAUGCACUUUACGUUGGCAAAACCUACAUUGAUCGAUAUUGAUCUUGAAGGGUGCUAUUCUUUGGAAAGCAUAAAACUUAAUAUAGACUCUUUUGAGGGUUUUUAUUUAAUUAGAUCUCACCUCACCACGGCUUACAUAUAAUAACGUCACUCCAAUCAUAACAUGCAUCAACAUACAUAAUAUAAUAAAAUG
This 240-nucleotide long non-coding RNA is filed under the name Trifolium pratense (red clover). RNAcentral's name for it is "long non-coding RNA (TPRA_LNC005179)". Lineage: Eukaryota; Viridiplantae; Streptophyta; Magnoliopsida; Fabales; Fabaceae. The record is from RNAcentral.